GCAAUGGACGAAAGUCUGACCGAGCAACGCCGCGUGAGUGAAGAAGGUUUUCGGAUCGUAAAGCUCUGUUGUAAGUCAAGAACGUGUGUGAGAGUGGAAAGUUCACACAGUGACGGUAGCUUACCAGAAAGGGACGGCUAACUACGUGCCAGCAGCCGCGGUAAUACGUAGGUCCCGAGCGUUGUCCGGAUUUAUUGGGCGUAAAGGGAGCGCAGGCGGUCAGGAAAGUCUGGAGUAAAAGGCUAUGGCUCAACCAUAGUGUGCUCUGGAAACUGUCUGACUUGAGUGCAGAAGGGGAGAGUGGAAUUCCAUGUGUAGCGGUGAAAUGCGUAGAUAUAUGGAGGAACACCAGUGGCGAAAGCGGCUCUCUGGUCUGUCACUGACGCUGAGGCUCGAAAGCGUGGGUAGCGAACAGGAUUAGAUACCCUGGUAGUCCACGCCGUAAACGAUGAGUGCUAGGUGUUAGGCCCUUUCCGGGGCUUAGUGCCGGAGCUAACGCAAUAAGCACUCCGCCUGGGGAGUACGACCGCAAGGUUGAAACUCAAAGGAAUUGACGGGGGCCCGCACAAGCGGUGGAGCAUGUGGUUUAAUUCGAAGC
RNAcentral lists this ribosomal RNA (598 nucleotides) under Streptococcus mutans. RNAcentral describes it as "bacterial SSU rRNA". It matches the Rfam family "Bacterial small subunit ribosomal RNA", at positions 368 to 957 of the family's 1533-position model. Lineage: Bacteria; Bacillati; Bacillota; Bacilli; Lactobacillales; Streptococcaceae. The record is from RNAcentral.